GCACCAGCCCAGACAGGUCAAAGAGCAGGAUUCCAAGCAGUUGAGAUGGUCUCUGGAGAAGCCUGGAAUUUCCCUGUGACACAGAAGUGGCAGAAAGAGGAACCUGAGGGACUCAUGUCCCAGGAACACCGAAUCAUCACAGAGCAUUUACAUCCAAAAUCCAUUUUCCUUCAGAACAGUGCCCAGGAUGGAGUAAGUGAAGGUGAGCCUCUACACAUUGGUAAAUCUGUGAUUUGUCUGUACGAUAACUGGGCCUUUAGAACUGACAAGGGGAUUUCCUAUGUGAUUCUCGCAGGAGAGCUCUGCAGAGUUCCUGGAAAAUCCCCUAUCAGACACUGCCAGGAAACAGGGCUUCCCCAGAAGUGACAGUGGUAGACAACCAUUCCAAAAAGACCCUGGGCUCCUCGUCUGAAACACAGGAAAUUAGGAAAGGUGACUCUGUAAGGCUGUAAGCUUGGUAUUUCCCAGGAAGAUGCUCUAAAGUGAUCUCAAACUCAGUGUAUCAACACAGACAAGAUGACACUGCAGUUAUCUGUUUAGCUGCCUCGUUCUUCCUGUAAGCUGUGCACUCCUAAGGGCAAGGACCAGUUUGUAGUCAUCCUCCAGUGCCUGGCACGUAGCAGACCCAUGAGACAUGAGGGUGAAUGAGCAACUGGACUGACCAGCUGAGAUGGAAGUGUUGAUUCUCUCCAGCUGUGAACCUCUCACCUGUCUCCUCAGCUGGGUUGCAAGCUCCCUGGGAGCUAGGAAUAGAUCUUUUCUUCACACAGUCUCCAAGCAGGGCUGCACUCAGGAUGCACUCGUGUGCCCAGGCAAGUUGUUAAAGUAUUGAAAUACUUCUGUACGGUUGCUGCCUAAGCUCCAGAGAGGCCCCCACCCCCAGAUGCCCAGCACCUCCCCCAGAGCCCCACCCCACCAUCUGGCUGCUCUAGGGUGACGCCUGACCUGGCAGGGCCUCUGAGACUCAGCUCCAGCUCUGUGGCUGCAUCCUUCUGAUGGGCCGGUAUAUCGUCGUGACCUUGUUAGGUGUCUGAGUGAUGCACCAGCCCGAUGCAGGUGAUAGGGAUGCAACAGACGCUUGGAAAGCACUGCUUGUUACCUGACAAUUGAUAUACAUGGGCUCUGGUCUCCCAGCGGACUGAGGCAGUGCUCAGACACUGCUCAGUGGGCAGUGUCUGCUACCUGAUGCCAAGAAGAUACGUUUAUGGGGUCAGUGGCUGGACAGCAGAAGGCCUUCCAAGGACACCUGCAGGUGAAGAAAAAUAGAGACUUGCUGUCCUUGCUGCUGCCAUCCCUGUCAACCCAUCCGUUUGUCCAUCCAGCCACUGUUUGGGGACCACACUUCGGGCACAUCAGCUCCAGGAAGGCCAGAGAGCAGGUCAUGCAGCACAACGAGCAGUGCCGGAGGAUGGGCAGGGGCAGCAGGAAGAGGUCAAACUUGGUGCCAGGGGGCCGGUCUGAGCCCCAGCCCCCUGCUCAGCUAGCCUGGCGACGGUACUCUCGGAGCCUGUGCUUCCCCUUCUGCGCUAGGGGCGGAGCUAACCUGCCUUCUGGCUUGCUGUGAGGCCCAGUGCAUGGAACAAAGGCUCUGAUCUGGGACCACAGUUGGGGCUUGCCCUCCUGAUGGACUCUUAUUUGGCUAAAUCAAGACUUUUAAAAAUGACAGAGUGGUUACACAGGUAUGCCUUGUUUGCAAAGAUGCACUGAGCUGUAUACUUAAGUAUGCUCUUCGAUAUGGAACCUAGUUAUGAUUAAAAAAAGUUAAAUAU
Molecule: non-coding RNA, 1769 nt
Organism: Vicugna pacos (alpaca)
Lineage: Eukaryota; Metazoa; Chordata; Mammalia; Artiodactyla; Camelidae
Source: RefSeq, a predicted model, not a curated record